GCCCGCCGUCAUCAUGGCAUCUACGUGUACUUCGAAGAUAAUGCUGGAGUAAUUGCUGAUCCGAAAGGAGGACUGGAAGAAGAAGCCAAGUACUUGAAGUAAUUCUCGACGAUGGUUGGAACCGGGAGUUCGAAGUCUGAUGGAGCCGAGCUUCCUUAGAGCUGUUUAUUUUGUAUAUGUGUUUUUGUUGUUUUUUUUUUAAGGCUUUGUAGCAUGCACUUUGUCAGUGGAAUGAGAAGAGAAUCUUCCGUUACCUCGUUCCCCCCCCUUUCUUUUUUGGGCCUUCGAGGCUUUGCAAUGUAUACUUCACCAAUGAAAUGAGAAUGAAAUUGCUUAUUACCUCGCCCAUUCUGGUAUUAACCGAUUAUUUACUAGACUCCUUUUGGCCUUCGUCGUGUUCGAUGCCGACGCUAUUUGGGGGUUCCCGAUCGUUGCAGUGUUGAUUUGUCCUUUGGUUUAUGACCGUAGGUUCUUUCGAGGUCAUUUGAGUUUGAUGUUUUCUCCCGGUGUGCGAGCUCGGGGGUCCAAACUUCUCGUUACCUUGAAGAGGUCGAUUUAUCUUCGACCCAUGUCAGGUUCCCUCUUAGUGGCUGGGACGAAGUUCCUUAUAUCUUUGAUGCAGUUUGUUCUUAUCUAUCGUAGAAGUAGUUCGUCGGCCUUUCUCUUUUAUCUUCCCCUUUCCUUUUCAUGUUUGAGUGAGGGUUUUUUCCCCUGCUCUUAACGGGGUCGUGAAAGCAUAGAGGUAUCAUUGAGGAAGGUCUCCUCCCUGCCGAUCAACCAAGCCUUUGUUUGCGUCGGGACGAGGUCUUCCCCGUGUUCUCGACAGUCGGAUUCAGCUCAUGUUAGGAUGAGGUUCUCCUCCUGUUUCUAGCAAGGCUGUGGGGGCACAUCAGGGCCGUUAUGAGGGCCUCUCCC
RNAcentral lists this long non-coding RNA (915 nucleotides) under Elaeis guineensis (African oil palm). Its description in RNAcentral is "long non-coding RNA (EGUI_LNC034247)". The record is from RNAcentral. Lineage: Eukaryota; Viridiplantae; Streptophyta; Magnoliopsida; Arecales; Arecaceae.